ACAGGCUUGCAUCAAGCAAACUCACCGCAUGAUACAUCAGCGAUGAGGAGGAAGGAAGAGACAAAGAAGGAGAGGGCAGUGUUUCAUCAAAUGCUCCUCAGGUAUUCUGGAGUGGAUUUAUGCAGCAGGCAGUAAUACAACACAAAAGGCAGAUGGACUGCGGGAAUACUAAAGCGAUUUGUUUGCCCACAAAUAAUAUCCUAGCAAAGCACAACUGAAGUAUAAUCAAUUAAGAGCUUUCAUGUGGUUUUGCUGAGUGUAAAACAACAAGGCAUCAAGGCUUGCAUUGGCACAAACUGCUCAGAUCUCAAGGCAAGUAAAUAUUUAGCCAAUAAUUUUGAUUUUGAGCAACAAAAUGCAUCUUUGCUCUUUAGCUGCUGACUUGUGUCUUUAAUUGCAGGGAUAAGGCACACUAGGAUAGCAGACUUUAACUCAACGUCUUCUGCAGUGGGACAUUGGUGUCUCUGCAGGAAAUCAGAAAAAAAGCCUUUGGCCUCAAGAUUUCUGUACGGUAAAAUAAUUUUUCUGUAGCUGUCACAUCCAGAGCUCCUAUCCUCGUGUAAACCAGCAGCCUUUACUGC
This 581-nucleotide long non-coding RNA is filed under the name Anser brachyrhynchus (Pink-footed goose). Its description in RNAcentral is "lncRNA (ENSABRG00000018657.1)". The record is from RNAcentral. Lineage: Eukaryota; Metazoa; Chordata; Aves; Anseriformes; Anatidae.